RNAcentral lists this transfer RNA (72 nucleotides) under Micromonospora sicca. RNAcentral describes it as "Micromonospora sp. 4G51 tRNA". It matches the Rfam family "tRNA". Rfam says of the family: Transfer RNA (tRNA) molecules are approximately 80 nucleotides in length. The record is from Rfam by way of RNAcentral. Lineage: Bacteria; Bacillati; Actinomycetota; Actinomycetes; Micromonosporales; Micromonosporaceae. RNAcentral also lists the same sequence under 2 other names.
UGCGAGCUGGUGCAGUCGGCAGCACACCCGUCUCUGGAACGGGAGAGGGAAGUUCGAGUCUUCCGCUCGCAG